UACGUAGGGUGCAAGCGUUGUCCGGAAUUAUUGGGCGUAAAGAGCGCGCAGGCGGUCGUACAAGUCGCGUGUGAAAGCCCCCGGCUCAACUGGGGAGGGUCACGCGAUACUGUUCGACUCGAAGGCAGGAGAGGGAAGUGGAAUUCCCGGUGUAGUGGUGAAAUGCGUAGAUAUCGGGAGGAACACCAGUGGCGAAGGCGGCUCACUGGCUCGGUACUGACGCUGAGGUGCGAAAGCGUGGGGAGCAAACAGG
This 253-nucleotide ribosomal RNA is filed under the name uncultured bacterium. Its description in RNAcentral is "partial 16S ribosomal RNA". It matches the Rfam family "Bacterial small subunit ribosomal RNA", at positions 524 to 776 of the family's 1533-position model. The record is from RNAcentral.